This 866-nucleotide ribosomal RNA is filed under the name Macrobrachium latidactylus. RNAcentral describes it as "SSU rRNA". It matches the Rfam family "Eukaryotic small subunit ribosomal RNA", at positions 462 to 1295 of the family's 1831-position model. Lineage: Eukaryota; Metazoa; Arthropoda; Malacostraca; Decapoda; Palaemonidae. The record is from RNAcentral.
UGGUAGUGACGAAAAAUAACAAUGCGGGACUCUUGCGAGUCUGCGUAAUUGGAAUGAGCACACUUUAAAUCCUUUAGCAACAACCAAUUGGAGGGCAAGUCUGGUGCCAGCAGCCGCGGUAAUUCCAGCUCCAAUAGCGUAUAUUAAAGUUGUUGCGGUUAAAAAGCUCGUAGUUCGAGUUCAGUUUCGGACUGGGGUGGGAGGUCACCGCCCGGUGCUUCCCCUUUAGGCUCCGAACAGCUUCCUUAUGUGGAAGCCAACCGGUUCUGCCGGGGUGCUCUUUACCGAGUGUCCCGCGCGGCCGGCCAGUUCACCUUGAAUAAAUGAGAGUGCUCAAAGCAGGCUACUCUGGAAUACAAUGCCCGAAUGUUAACUGCAUGGAAUGAUGGAAGAUGAUCUCGGUUCCAUUUUGUCGGUGGUGGGAGCCAGAGGUAAUGAUAAAGAGGGACUGUCGGGGGCAUCCGUACUACGACGCGAGAGGUGAAAUUCAGUGACCGUCGUAGGACGAACAACAGCGAAAGCAUUUGCCAAGAAUGUCUUCGUUGAUCAAGAACGAAAGUUAGAGGAUCGAAGGCGAUCAGAUACCGCCCUAGUUCUAACCCUAAACGAUGCUGACUAGCAAUUCGCCGUCGUUAUUCCCAUGACGUGGCGAGACGCCCCCGGGAAACCUCAAGUUUUUGAGUUCCGGGGGUAGUAUGGUUGCAAAAGUGAAACUUAAAGGAAUUGACGGAAGGGCACCACCAGGAGUGGAGCCUGCGGCUUAAUUUGACUCAACACGGGAAAGCUCACCAGGCCCGGACACCAGAAGGAUUGACAGAUUAAGAGCUCUUUCUCGAUUUGGUGGGUGGUGGUGCAUGGCCGUUCUU